UGGAUUGACUAGGGGUGCCCGCAGAAGGUGGGCUGAGAAUUAGAACAUGUUUCUUUUACCCUUUUAACCUGAUCUGGGUGAUACCAGCGGAGGGAAGUCGCGCGCAAUAUGU
RNAcentral lists this non-coding RNA (112 nucleotides) under Bacillus sp. (in: firmicutes). RNAcentral's name for it is "Bacillus sp. TPP sequence". It matches the Rfam family "TPP riboswitch aptamer (THI element)". From Rfam's summary of the family: Vitamin B(1) in its active form thiamin pyrophosphate (TPP) is an essential coenzyme that is synthesised by coupling of pyrimidine and thiazole moieties in bacteria. The previously detected thiamin-regulatory element, thi box was extended, resulting in a new, highly conserved RNA secondary structure, the THI element, which is widely distributed in eubacteria and also occurs in some archaea. Analysis of operon structures identified a large number of new candidate thiamin-regulated genes, mostly transporters, in various prokaryotic organisms. The record is from RNAcentral. Lineage: Bacteria; Bacillati; Bacillota; Bacilli; Caryophanales; Bacillaceae.